AGAAGAAAAUCCGCCGUGUAAAAUGAAAGAAAUGUGUUCGAUGUCAAAGGUUUCAGACACUACAAGAUACCAAAGUUUACUAACUUAAAUACGACCUCAAAGCAAUAAAUCGUUUGUAUUUGUUUCGCGUCGAUGUCAAAAUGAAAAGAAUUUCACAAUCAACAGUAAUAGUUAAAAACUAAAAUGUUCAAUGAGACCAUAAACCUAUUUUUAAGCUAGAGGCCAUUUGAAUAAUUGAACUGUUCCCCCAUUUUAAAAAAAUGUUUAUAGAGAACAAAAGUGGAACUUUUAAAUCUGACCGAUCUGUGUUUAUUUAAUAGACACUGAAUAGUCAUAAAAUUUUCAUGUCGACAUAUGAAAAGCUUUUCAAACUGUUUAAUUUUAACGGUUUAUGUAGGAUUAAUAGAAUCCCAAUAUUCAAACUUUUAAGGACACCCGGCUAACUUAAGAAUGAAUUAAAUUUGGGUUCUUAUCCAGCACCGUAUCGGGUAAUCUACUACAAACGUUAACUAAUCGUCAUAAAAACGAAAAUGUAGUAAGCACACUGAGUUGCAUGUGCAAGAGUAAGUUCUUUCAAAAGUAUUUGGUUCCCUUUAUGAAACAAUUCAUUCGAGAAUUUUACCAGAGUUCCGGGAAAAAUUAAUCACCGUGUCAACUAUGAUAUCUUUAUUGCCACGACACAAUUGAGUAGUGAAAUGAAAUAGGAUUCGCAUACUAUCUCGAUCGAUAAGGAAAAAAAAAUGAGUCGAGUGAUUCGAUUACCCAAGAUGUUCCUUCGCUCAUUCAUUCAAUGGAAUUCAAAAGCCAAGAAACAUAUUCCAAAGGAGUUAUGGAUUUUGAGCAAAGUUUAGAUUCCAUCUCCAUACUCGUAGCUUUUUCUUUCAAAAGUGACUCUUCAAAUCUCUUUUCAAGUUCUUCAGAAGAAUAAGAGACCAAGACAUUGUUUAAAAGCUUAACGUCUUGUUUGAAACCAAGUAUUUCGUUUUGCAGUUGCUCUUGUUGCACGUUCAAAUUACUUCGAAAACGGUCCAAAUCCUUCCUCGCCUGCAAUAACUGUUCGUAUUUGUUUUUAUUCCUUUCCUGUAGUUCUCGAAUUUCUCGAAUCCUUCUCCUUAAUGGAAUAGACUCUUGAAGUGUCCAAAAGUACGACUCUAAGACUUCUUCAUCUUCCUUCGACAUUAGCGUAAACUCAAGAAAUGCUAGCUA
This is a non-coding RNA of Schizosaccharomyces pombe (fission yeast), 1206 nucleotides long. The record is from the annotation of a GenBank genome assembly. Lineage: Eukaryota; Fungi; Ascomycota; Schizosaccharomycetes; Schizosaccharomycetales; Schizosaccharomycetaceae.